This is a non-coding RNA of Girardinichthys multiradiatus, 1377 nucleotides long. Lineage: Eukaryota; Metazoa; Chordata; Actinopteri; Cyprinodontiformes; Goodeidae. The record is from the annotation of a RefSeq genome assembly.
UGGUGUAUGUGUGAUGGUGUAUGUGUGAUGGUGUAUGUGUGAUAGGGUUAGGAUUAGCCUAACUAGGGACAGGCACUGAAAAUUAGCCUUGGCUAAAAUGUCAUAGUGUGUGACAUGAUUUCAGGAAACAUACGUGUCCCUAUCAAAUAAACAAUAAACAAAUUAAAUAAAUAAAAAAAAACUUUGUUUAGAGAAACGUCUGGGUGGAGGAAGUUGUCACAGACAAACACAUAUAUGCCUCAGUUCAUGGUUACUGUUAAAUCCAGAAACAGAAGGGACAGGAAACAGAAAGUGAACACAGAACAGGAAGGAGCUUGGUUAUAAAUCUCCAGUUGUUUCAGUAUUAAUUCCUCUAAUAACCCAGAUUAUUGAAGGAGCUGAUAAUGAAUAAUAAUAGCUGCUCAUACUUUCUAUAAACAUAGUCCAUCUUCCUCCCUCUCUCCUUCCAAAGUGUCUCUCUGAAAUGACUAAUCAUAAAACAACCUUCAGCCCUGGGUUUACAGGCUCGAUCCAACACAGUUCUGUCUCCAGGAACCAAACUACAGAGAAAAAACCCUCCAGAGUCCAGCUCAGCUUCCUUCUUCGACUGAUUAAUCAGAACCAGUGAGAAAGCAGAAGAAGCUGAGAACCUGUUAACCAGGAGGAAGAGGAACUGAGAAGUUCAGGGAGGAGCUGAGAUGUUACUGAACUCUAGAAGAUACUCAAACUUCCUCAUUCAACACAGUUCAACACACAAACAUCUACUCUGCUCAACAUGGACUAUUAUGGACUUUCUCUGCUCAUCGCCUCACUUCUAACAGGUGUCAGAUGUGAUCAACUCACCCCAAUGAAAAAUCAAGAGUCCAGCUUAGAGAGGAGCUCUGUUACUCUGUCCUACAGUUUAUCCAGACAAGUACUGAGCAAUGAUUAUUUUUUCUGGUACCGUCAGUAUCCAGGAGAACCUCCAGAGUUGCUGAUCUCCCACUCUGCUUCAGGAGUUGAAGGAAUUAAAAAAGUUUCCAAACUGAAGAUUCAGGUGACCAAAACGCAGAUGGACCUGCUGAUCUCCUCUGCUGCAUUGACAGAUUCUGCUGUGUACUACUGUGCUGUGAAGCCCACAGUGACAGGAAACACCAGAACUCUGUACAAGAACCUGCAGUACUCCACAUCAUCCACUAGUGGACCUCACACUUCCAUGGUUGUCAGGAUUCAGUCUCAUUGUUCUUGUGGAGAUAAAACCUGAACAGAGAAAAGAAUCAUUUCAGAAACAACAGCUUGAUGAUGAUAUGGUGAAAUUAGAUAGAAUCUACUAAAAUCAGUUGAAAUGGACGUACUUGACUUGGAAUCUGUAUUAUUCGGUUGAAUUGACACUUUAUAAAUAAACUGAACUAAAAUUCA